ACUUGAUUAGUACGAUUCUGGCCCAGCAUUUAUAUAAACGUUAUUAAAUUUUACUGAAAUCUCUAUGUAAAUAUAGAAACAACUUUUAACAACGGAUCUCUUGGCUCUCGCAACGAUGAAGAACGCAGCGAAAUGCGAUACGUAAUGUGAAUUGCUUUCCGUGAAUCAUCGAAUCUUUGAACGCAUAUUGCACUCCUUUGGAGUAUGCCUGUUUGAGAAUCUAUAGUAUUACUUCAAGGUGCUUUCUUUCACGAGAAAUCACCGAGAGAUAUGGAGUUUCCCUUUGGGUACUCUUAAAUUGAUUGUCUUUGCGCUGUAGUAAAUGUUUGACAUUUCCUCAACUCUUCAGAAAAGUAUGUGAAUGAAGCUAACGUUUCUCAUAAUGCUCAUUACGUCGAAGAAGAAGUUUAGUUUACCGCAAAACAGGGGUUCAUAACUAUAAGUUACUCUGUGACUUGAACAAUGGUCUCAAAUCAGGUAGGAAGACCCGCUGAACUUAA
RNAcentral lists this ribosomal RNA (500 nucleotides) under uncultured fungus. Its description in RNAcentral is "eukaryotic LSU rRNA". The stretch from base 81 to 222 matches the Rfam family "5.8S ribosomal RNA". The record is from RNAcentral. Lineage: Eukaryota; Fungi.